AGACACCUGGCGAGGGCCGGGCAUACGUGUUAUGGUGUGGGAGCCGAAGGGACGCCACGGAUGCGAUACAGAUUGGUCAUGGAUGAUGGGUGCUACCUAUCCAAUAAGGAUACAACGUACCAUUUCGUCACGUAUGAACCAUGGUGAGACCGUGCAAGUGCCUACCGCGUGUACCACAGGGUCUGCAACGGCACAUCACAUGGCUCCAAACCGCUGUUUUGAUUGGAGGCGGGGCUCGUCGCUUUAGGUUAGUGCGGCUGCAUCCAUAUCCGAACCCACCGCAGAUCAUGUCACAAAUCAUAUUACAUAAUAAAUCGGUCACUAUGUUCAAUUUGGCUGCCAGCUGCCACUGGGUAUCAUUUUUGUACUGGAGAAGCCAUUCGAACCGGAGCCCGUCAUUCAUUUGUGUAUUGCUUGGCUUCAUCCUUCCAUGAAGGAGCUGGUUCCAGGUAUCUGGAAGGCCUGCAACACACCAGUGGCUGCAGUCCAUGCCUGAAUCGUCCCUAUUGUACACAGAUGGGUGAGCAUCCUUUCUAAGCUGCGAGAGAAACGUGACAUCCAGUAGAUAUACUGGCAUUGACAUGGUCUGCAACACUCUCUUUACUAUGGCCUGUGCUGGAAGGGAACCUCCUGGAUAUCUUGGUCUAAUCAAUGGUUGAGUCUGUCCAUAGCAUCUCUUUGCAUUUGGUUCACCCCAGUCCCUUCCUCUGAUUCCCACAGUAUUCACAAGGACGAGAAAAGACAAGAGAUAUAUAAGCUACAAAAGUCUUCUUUCACAGGCCAAAGAGGACUCUCCCGAAGUGUUUCUUGGUAGUGGGUGAGGCUCUGGGCCCUCGCCAUCUGGCGUGCCGGUGACCCGGCAGAGGUGCCUUUGAAGCAUGGAGGAAAUGGACAAGGACAAGAAGAAAAGACGAAUUGGGUGGCUUACACCUCCCUUUCGUUCGGGAAAAAAGAAGAAGAAGAAGAAGAAGAAGAAAAAGAAAAGGUGAAAGAGACGAGACACCACGGUCAUUGCAAUUGCCAUGUAAUGCAAGUAGUUUUGGGACGAAGGGGCAGUGCACAGUGCUCUACCUUUUACUGCUGUUUAUGAACAAGUUUCCACCAGAAAAGGAAUAGAGGAAAAUGUAAAUAGGCACUUAAGUGAGUCAGGUAGCAAGUAAAACUUAAAAAAGAGGUGGGAUUCGUCACUCUGAAUGUGUAUUAUGAAGGAUUUAUCAGUGAAUACCCGCAAUUUUUAGGUGAGU
Molecule: non-coding RNA, 1244 nt
Organism: Elaeis guineensis (African oil palm)
Lineage: Eukaryota; Viridiplantae; Streptophyta; Magnoliopsida; Arecales; Arecaceae
Source: RefSeq, a predicted model, not a curated record